AUUGAACGCUGGCGGCAGGCUUAACACAUGCAAGUCGAGCGGAGAUGAGGUGCUUGCACCUUAUCUUAGCGGCGGACGGGUGAGUAAUGCUUAGGAAUCUGCCUAUUAGUGGGGGACAACAUUCCGAAAGGAAUGCUAAUACCGCAUACGUCCUACGGGAGAAAGCAGGGGAUCUUCGGACCUUGCGCUAAUAGAUGAGCCUAAGUCGGAUUAGCUAGUUGGUGGGGUAAAGGCCUACCAAGGCGACGAUCUGUAGCGGGUCUGAGAGGAUGGUCCGCCACACUGGGACUGAGACACGGCCCAGACUCCUACGGUGGGUAGCAGUGGGGAAUAUUGGACAAUGGGGGGAACCCUGAUCCAGCCAUGCCGCGUGUGUGAAGAAGGCCUUAUGGUUGUAAAGCACUUUAAGCGAGGAGGAGGCUACUGAGACUAAUACUCUUGGAUAGUGGACGUUACUCGCAGAAUAAGCACCGGCUAACUCUGUGCCAGCCGCCGCCGUAA
RNAcentral lists this ribosomal RNA (501 nucleotides) under uncultured bacterium. RNAcentral describes it as "partial 16S ribosomal RNA". It matches the Rfam family "Bacterial small subunit ribosomal RNA", at positions 30 to 523 of the family's 1533-position model. The record is from RNAcentral.